CAUUUAGAAUCUAUAAUUUUACAACUUAAAUGGCAAAAAAGAUUGUAGACCUUAUUGCCUGUGGCUCUGAACACGCAUAGUUCAUCAGAAAACAAGCUUUCCAUUGAGGCAAAGGAGUUCAGUUCUGAGCCCCAGUACUAGCCCGCACCCACAGCCACACUUGAAGCUAAAAAAUUCAGAAGUCUGCAACUUAAGCAUGAAGCAUGUAGCAAUCAAUUCCAGAAGGCAUGUAAAUGUCAUUGCAAGAUACUCAACGGCAGCCUAAGCCCGCUAGAAAUGCAAUCUAAUGCAAGAAUUACUGAUGAAAUAAAAGGCCCACAUAACCAUACUUGCAUCUACAAAUACAGAAUGACUUGCAGUCGUGCAUCCCACAUAUAGCCGUACCAGGUGAAAAUAGAUUUUAAACUACAGUGGAAAGUACUAACAUAAAAUCAUAAUCACAUUGCUCUGUUUACAGGUUCUAGCGCUUCAACAGUGACAACACUAUUUCCUCUGAUUACCACCAUGCCUAUGUCAGUUUUCUCAUCACCAUUCACCUCCACAGAGUUGUCAACCACCAGAUUCAUGAAUUGAUCAAAUCCACGAAGUGUUCCAACUACCAUCCUAUUUGCAUUCAGCUUGAUUUGAAGUUUCUUGUCCAUGUACUUCUUGAGAUCUGGUGGCUGGCCUGAUCUGCUCAUGUUGAGCGGCUUCUAUUGACUGUGCUUUACGAGCUACAAAACAAGAAGAAGCACAGAGGCUGGGAAAGGGAGGGAGAGGAAGUAGAUAUGCCCAGGGUUUAGGCAUGGUUUCGUGUUAAUAUCGCAGAAAAAACAAAGGGAUGUUCCGAUGUCGUUUUGAAGGCCAGGCCUCCAUGUGCUGAAAACGAAUGGAGGCCCAAUUGUUUCGUACACAAACAAGCCCAAAAAUCUCGGUCUGUUGAUGAUGCCAAAGUGGAGGUUGCGUGUUUCUCAUCUCGU
Molecule: unclassified non-coding RNA, 959 nt
Filed under: Hevea brasiliensis (rubber tree)
Lineage: Eukaryota; Viridiplantae; Streptophyta; Magnoliopsida; Malpighiales; Euphorbiaceae
Source: RNAcentral